GGGGGCGAGCAGGCUCGACGUGGCGAGCGGGGACAGGAGAUAAGCGGGUCGAGGUCCCACCAGCUCGUUAAACGGUGGACGAAACACAAACGCCAACGAAGAACCUGCUCUCGCGGCUGCUGCGUAAGUAACGGCCGCGCGUCGCCGGCGCCCGGCCCGCGGGGCGGCAAGCGGCGUCACACAGAGCGGGCUAACUCCUGGCCGGCGCCCUCCGGCCGGGAGGACAGGUGAAGGGCUAGCUUGCGGGGUAUCCUGCCUGUGGGAGGCCCUGCGAGCGAAAGGAAAACACAGGCUACGCCCGUAGAAACUCCUGCCACUGCCGUUGCGGACCCGGCGUGCAACCCGCCGGCGCCUCCACCA
Molecule: transfer-messenger RNA, 360 nt
Filed under: Limnochordia
Lineage: Bacteria; Bacillati; Bacillota
Also listed under: 2 other names
Description: JACDOI01 sp017656145 Standard tmRNA
Rfam family: transfer-messenger RNA
About the family: Bacterial tmRNA, also known as 10Sa RNA or SsrA, is named for its dual tRNA and mRNA-like properties. Its role is to liberate the mRNA from a stalled ribosome.
Source: RNAcentral